AUGUAACGCAUCUAUAUACAACUUUCAGCAACGGAUCUCUUGGCUCUCGCAUCGAUGAAGAACGCAGCGAAAUGCGAUAAGUAAUGUGAAUUGCAGAAUUCAGUGAAUCAUCGAAUCUUUGAACGCACCUUGCGCUCCUUGGUAUUCCGAGGAGC
Molecule: ribosomal RNA, 155 nt
Filed under: Ganoderma ryvardenii
Lineage: Eukaryota; Fungi; Basidiomycota; Agaricomycetes; Polyporales; Polyporaceae
Description: 5.8S ribosomal RNA
Rfam family: 5.8S ribosomal RNA (bases 20-155)
About the family: 5.8S ribosomal RNA (5.8S rRNA) is a component of the large subunit of the eukaryotic ribosome. It is transcribed by RNA polymerase I as part of the 45S precursor that also contains 18S and 28S rRNA.
Source: RNAcentral